UCGGGCUUUGGGAAGGUGUUUUCUAUCAUGUGAUCCAUAUUUAAAAGAUACCCGAUAUCUUUAUAUCAAAUGACCAACAUUUUAAAUAAAUAUCAUUGCACAACUCUUAACAUUUCAGCCGCGAUAUCACCUGGAAAGAGUUUAAAGCGUAGGCCGAGGAUCUGGUGUGUGGUCAAUGUAUGACACCUGAACUGAUUAGCACAAUGCCGCAUAAUACUCUCUUUUUAUCAUACAUUACCCACUUUAUCACUUUAUAGAUCUACUUAGUCUACUAUAGGGAACAGGGAAAUAUUGCAUAACUUUAAUAUAGAUAUUAAGGAAAUAUUACUUCACUUGCCAAAUUUAGAUAAACGAUAAACGAGUUUUG
Molecule: long non-coding RNA, 367 nt
Filed under: Mytilus galloprovincialis (Mediterranean mussel)
Lineage: Eukaryota; Metazoa; Mollusca; Bivalvia; Mytilida; Mytilidae
Source: RNAcentral